UACGUAGGGUCCGAGCGUUGUCCGGAAUUAUUGGGCGUAAAGGGCUCGUAGGCGGCUGUUCGAGUCGGGUGUGAAAUCCUGAGGCUUAACCUUGGGUCUGCAUUCGAUACUGGGCGGCUUGAGUCUGGUAGGGGGAUCUGGAAUUCCUGGUGUAGCGGUGGAAUGCGCAGAUAUCAGGAAGAACACCCGUGGCGAAGGCGGUUCCCUGGGACGGUACUGACGCUGAGACGCGAAAGCGUGGGGAGCGAACAGG
Molecule: ribosomal RNA, 253 nt
Filed under: uncultured bacterium
Lineage: Bacteria
Description: partial 16S ribosomal RNA
Rfam family: Bacterial small subunit ribosomal RNA
Source: RNAcentral